Long non-coding RNA from Varanus komodoensis (Komodo dragon), 1733 nucleotides. RefSeq lists it as uncharacterized. Lineage: Eukaryota; Metazoa; Chordata; Lepidosauria; Squamata; Varanidae. The transcript is spliced from 3 exons. The record is from RefSeq and is a predicted model, not a curated record.
GUGUAAAGUACGAGGUAGAAGCCACAUUGGAGGAGUUCUCGCUUUAGCUUGUUUCUCUUUUGCUUUGUUUCAACACGAGUAGAUAUCUAUUUAGAAAUAAUGUCAGGUCAAGAGACGUCUCACUUGGAGGGACUCCGCCGCAGUCCAACGUAGGCACAGAAAGGUGGCUGUUCUCGUUGCUGAUGGGGAACGGUCUUUGCUGUUCGGUUGUACUUUGUCACUUCCAUUUAAGCGACUAGUUCGCGUUUUGACGAACCUUACAGUUUUUCAGAGGUUGAAAUGGACGUCUUAAAAAGACACACAAGGCUAAGCAGGUCUAGAGGACAAGUUAUUUAUUGUAAGCCAUCCCGAGACGUUCUGUAGGAGACGGGAUAGAAAAGCUUUUAAUAAAUAGAGGAAGAGGACAACACAAUAGUGCUGAGAAAUAGAUACAGACUGUAUCGUUAGCAGUACAUUCGAGAAAGUUAAAACUAGAAGAUGAAAAGAAAACGGGGGUUUGGGUGUGUUCAGAAAUAAGGGGUUUCACGUUUUCUUUGUAAAUAGGCUGCUGAAUCUCGAACCUGUAAAUUUUUAAGCGGGAAAACAAGUUCUACAAGUCCCAGUAUGCUCCAGCGAGCUACUGGCUGUGUCAUGCUGGGAGCUGGACUUUUUUCUGUCUGAACAUGCAUAGGCUUGAACACUUACAUACCUAUGGGCUAUCUCUAGCGAUCUUCUCCUUUUAUAUACUUGAUCUGCAAAAGUCUGCUUUGUUUUACUUCAUUAUCUGUCCAUAUAUAUAGUAGUGAGUAAUCAGUCACACAACUCGUGUUAUGUAUGAACAUGUUAUGUAUGAACAUGCACUUGUGUUUAGUUAAUUCGUUUGUUGUAAGUCAAUAUAUAUCAUGUCUCUCCAUAUACCUUAUGUGUCUUAGAAUAUAAAAGUGAAAAACAAUUUCAGAAAAUAUAAAUUUUAAAACUAGCCUGAAACUAAAUGUGGAAAGGGCAGCAGGUCAAUUAUAAAGCUUAUACAGGGUGGACUACAAGUAGAUAUACAGUACUGAUUGGGUCAUGUUUAGUCUCUUAGGUGCACUAAGUGUCCUCCAUCAGUGUUGCAACCUGUUCCUGGAACCUGUCCCUGACAUUGUGACUCAUAAGCACCAGUGCAGAUAAGUGCUUCCAAGAUUAACUCCUUCAGCUCAUCCACUAUGUGAGAUCUUCAGUGAUGCAAUCAGUACUGUAUACCUACUUUUGGCUCACUCUGUAGAUUGAAUGCAAAAUAGAGUUGUAGCUUCAGAAGGUGACAAAAGCCUAAAAAGAUGGAUUGCUUGGGAAAGGGAAUUAACCUAGAUGCAGAUUAAGAAAAGUCCUUAAUAUGAAUUCCAUAAUAUAUUUAUUGAGAUACUACUUUCCAUCCAUUUCCUGUUUUGUACUAUUGAUGAAUUUGACUAAGCUUAUGCCAUAAAAUGUUCGUUUUUAAAGAGAUUUGGUUUUGCUGCAACAAGGGCAUCAUGACUACCCUCUGAAAAUUGUUACUAUUUGGUAACAGUUUUAGUGAACAGAAGUCAAAAUUUUUAAUAAUUGACUGAUAGAGCAAAGGGUUCAGCACUGUUAGAUGCUUUCCUUUAUCUGAAAUGGAAGCAACCAGAAUAGUUUGGCUAUACAAGUACCUGCCUGGAGGAAUGUUGUCCAUGGGGUCAUGAUUGGUCGGACAUGACUUUUGCAACUUACAUAACAUAGACAAUAAUCAAUCUUGG